CGGGGUGAGUAAUGUAUGGGGAUCUGCCUGAUGGCGGGGGAUAACUACUGGAAACGGUAGCUAAUACCGCAUAAUGUCUGCGGACCAAAGCGGGGGACCUCCGGGCCUCGCGCCAUCAGAUGAACCCAUAUGGGAUUAGCUUGUAGGUAAGGUAACGGCUUACCUAGGCGACGAUCCCUAGCUGGUCUGGGAGGAUGAUCAGCCACACUGGGACUGAGACACGGCCCAG
Molecule: ribosomal RNA, 229 nt
Filed under: uncultured bacterium
Lineage: Bacteria
Description: partial 16S ribosomal RNA
Rfam family: Bacterial small subunit ribosomal RNA
Source: RNAcentral